RNAcentral lists this transfer RNA (67 nucleotides) under Podarcis lilfordi (Lilford's wall lizard). RNAcentral describes it as "tRNA.Ala". The record is from RNAcentral. Lineage: Eukaryota; Metazoa; Chordata; Lepidosauria; Squamata; Lacertidae.
CCAUAGCUCAGUUGGUUAGAGCGUGGUGCUGGCAACACCAAGGUUGCAAGUUUGAUCCCCAUAAGGG